Non-coding RNA from Salmo salar (Atlantic salmon), 70 nucleotides. The record is from Rfam. NCBI's taxonomy places the organism in Eukaryota, Metazoa, Chordata, Actinopteri, Salmoniformes, Salmonidae.
UCCCGUGUGGCUAAGUUGAUAGAGCAUGGUGUUUGCAACGCCAGGGUUGUAGGUUCGAUUCCCACGGGGG